UCUGCUCGGUUCCUUCGUUUUUGGCAGAGAGAACGACGGGCUGUAUGGCUCACGGCUGCUCGGUCGGGCCAGGAUGCCGGUUCGUGGGCUGGCUUCGGGUCGUUCUUGGUGUUUGAUGAGGGUGACAUGCUUUUUUUUAUACUUCUUCUCUUAUGAUCUUUGCCUCAGUAGACUGCGCCGCCUUCUUUCCUCUGUUAAGUAAUUUUUUCAUUCUAAUUCUAAUGUUUAUCUUUGCUUUUUGUGCUGUUUCCUCUCCUGCAUAUUUCUCUUGCGUUUCAUUUCGUCUGGUACCUUCUUUUGCUUUCCAUUUUUCUUCUCAGCUCUGCUUUGGAUUUCUUGCGUAAUUGAUCCUAUUUCUUUUACUCUUCUUUCUUGAGGUUCUGGCCUGUUGCUUCUCACAAAUUGCUGCAAAGACUCACCCUUGCUGCAAAGACUCACCCUUUGUGUUGGUCAUUCUACUUUUGAGGUUAGUUGGCUUUUUCUAGGACACUUUUGGGCAAAAAACAGAGAUCACAGAAGAGUAUAUGAUUUCAGAAAAUAAUAAAGCCGCAGUAGAAUUGUGUUAUGAGAUGAGAUGUGAAAGAGAAUGUUACAGUAGCUAAUAAGAAUAAUAAAUUAAUUAUUGUUUGCUAUGAAUGAAAUUGCUAGCAAGGAACCCACCGUAGCUAAUAAUAAUAAUAAAUUGAUUAUUUGUUGUAUUGUUUGGUGGGAAGGAACCCACCGUGUUAUAUUUGGUUUUAUCUACAACGAUGUGAAUUUUUUGUAAAAACAUUUCACAACAUUAAUAACAUUAAACAAAUUAAACACCUAGGAGAAAAAUAUUUAGGGUUGUUACUGAUAAUGAUUCAUUUUCUGCUAUUCAUUGUUUUCAUCUAAAUGUUUAUGUUACAUCUACUUGAAUUGUUUUAUCAUUCGUCCCAUUCGCUUUCUCCAAGUACAUAUAUGUAUGUAUGUUUUAUCUAUACAUCCAAGUCUUCUCUUCCUUUUUUCUAAUGUCUACAAUGAUUUUUACAGCAUAUGAUAUUAAUUUUUAAUUGUUUCUUUACUGAUUUGCUGCAUUUAUUCUUCCAUAAUAUUUGCUGAAAUUUUUGAAUGCAUGACUUAAUUUCUUCAUCAUUUCAUUUAUUACUUUGCGAAUUUUAGUUUUUUCAGGAAGAUUAGCAACAAAAUGAUAUGUCUCAUUUCGAAGGAGGGAUUUCACUUCGUUCUGCACCUCAACAUCCCUCUAUUUUGCGCUGAUGUACAAAUUGUAUAAUUAGCACUCUUUUGUCAUCUUUUGUCCCUCUAUUUUGCGCUGAUGUACAAAUUGUAUAAUUAGCACUCUUUUGUCAUCUUUUGUGACACUAUGUAUAUACCAAAAGAUGUAACCUAUGUUUACAAAACAAACUCUUUUAUAUUAUA
This is a long non-coding RNA of Populus trichocarpa (black cottonwood), 1401 nucleotides long. RefSeq lists it as uncharacterized. The record is from RefSeq and is a predicted model, not a curated record. NCBI's taxonomy places the organism in Eukaryota, Viridiplantae, Streptophyta, Magnoliopsida, Malpighiales, Salicaceae. The transcript has 2 exons.